CAGAUGUUAACUCAAGUGGUAAGAGUACAUGACUGAUAAUCAUGUUGUCGCCGGUUCGAAUCCGGCACAUCCCA
RNAcentral lists this transfer RNA (74 nucleotides) under Verrucomicrobiia bacterium DG1235. Its description in RNAcentral is "Verrucomicrobiae bacterium DG1235 tRNA". It matches the Rfam family "tRNA". From Rfam's summary of the family: Transfer RNA (tRNA) molecules are approximately 80 nucleotides in length. Their secondary structure includes four short double-helical elements and three loops (D, anti-codon, and T loops). The record is from Rfam by way of RNAcentral. Lineage: Bacteria; Pseudomonadati; Verrucomicrobiota; Verrucomicrobiia.